This 494-nucleotide ribosomal RNA is filed under the name Yarrowia lipolytica. RNAcentral's name for it is "partial large subunit ribosomal RNA". It matches the Rfam family "Eukaryotic large subunit ribosomal RNA", at positions 76 to 651 of the family's 3401-position model. Lineage: Eukaryota; Fungi; Ascomycota; Dipodascomycetes; Dipodascales. The record is from RNAcentral.
UGCCUCAGUAACGGCGAGUGAAGCGGCAAAAGCUCAAAUUUGAAACCCUCGGGAUUGUAAUUUGAAGAUUUGGCAUUGGAGAAAGCUAACCCAAGUUGCUUGGAAUAGUACGUCAUAGAGGGUGACAACCCCGUCUGGCUAACCGUUCUCCAUGUAUUGCCUUAUCAAAGAGUCGAGUUGUUUGGGAAUGCAGCUCAAAGUGGGUGGUAAACUCCAUCUAAAGCUAAAUACUGGUGAGAGACCGAUAGCGAACAAGUACUGUGAAGGAAAGGUGAAAAGAACUUUGAAAAGAGAGUGAAAUAGUAUGUGAAAUUGUUGAUAGGGAAGGAAAUGAGUGGAGAGUGGCCGAGGUUUCAGCCGCCCCUCGUGGGCGGUGUACUGCCGACGCCGAGUCAUCGAUAGCGAGACGAGGGUUACAAAUGGGAGCGCCUUUCGGGCGUUCUCCCCUAACCCUCCACACUGCCACCGACGACAUAAUCCACCCAUUUCACCCG